This 69-nucleotide non-coding RNA is filed under the name unclassified sequences. The record is from RNAcentral.
CCGGCACAAGCUCCCACCUCACCGUGGUGUGUCGGUCUAGUAACCCUUUGGGGUGAAGCUAACGGGAGC